AAUAUUGGUUCCACUGUACUAAGCCUCUUGGAAUGCAGCAAUUAUCACCUCCCAAUAGGUGUUAAGUGCUGAAUUUCAAAGGGAUUAUCACUUUCCUCCUUU
Molecule: microRNA precursor, 102 nt
Filed under: Pelodiscus sinensis (Chinese soft-shelled turtle)
Lineage: Eukaryota; Metazoa; Chordata; Testudines; Trionychidae
Description: miRNA (ENSPSIG00000019459.1)
Source: RNAcentral